Molecule: ribosomal RNA, 253 nt
Filed under: uncultured bacterium
Lineage: Bacteria
Description: partial 16S ribosomal RNA
Rfam family: Bacterial small subunit ribosomal RNA
Source: RNAcentral
UACGGGGGGGGCAAGCGUUGUUCGGAAUUACUGGGCGUAAAGGGCUCGUAGGUGGCCAACUAAGUCAGACGUGAAAUCCCUCGGCUUAACCGGGGAACUGCGUCUGAUACUGGAUGGCUUGAGUUUGGGAGAGGGAUGCGGAAUUCCAGGUGUAGCGGUGAAAUGCGUAGAUAUCUGGAGGAACACCGGUGGCGAAGGCGGCAUCCUGGACCAACACUGACACUGAGGAGCGAAAGCAUGGGGAGCGAACAGG